GACGAACGCUGGCGGCGCGCUUAACACAUGCAAGUCGAACGGAAAGGCCUGCUUUCCCUUGUGGAUUGCGGGUACUCGAGUGGCGAACGGGUGAGUAACACGUGAGUGAUCUGCCCCCAACUUGGGUAUAAGCCUGGGAAACUGGGUCUAAUUCCCGAUAGGACUGCAGGGUGGUGCCUGUGGUGGAAAACGAUUUUCUAGUGGUUGGGGAUGAGCUCGCGGCCUAUCAGCUUGUUGGUGGGGUAAUGGCCUACCAAGGCGGCGACGGGUAGCCGGCCUGAGAGGGUGGACGGCCACAUUGGGACUGAGAUACGGCCCAGACUCCUACGGGAGGCAGCAGUGGGGAAUAUUGCACAAUGGGCGGAAGCCUGUUGCAGCGACGCCGCGUGGGGGAUGACGGCCUUCGGGUUGUAAACUCCUUUCGACCGCGAGGAAGCCACCUGGUUGGAAGGGUGGUGACGGUAGUGGUAGAAGAAGCACCGGCUAACUACGUG
RNAcentral lists this ribosomal RNA (494 nucleotides) under uncultured bacterium. RNAcentral describes it as "partial 16S ribosomal RNA". It matches the Rfam family "Bacterial small subunit ribosomal RNA", at positions 28 to 507 of the family's 1533-position model. The record is from RNAcentral.